UACGGAGGGGGGCUAGCGUUGUUCAGAAUUACUGGGCGUAAAGCGCGCGUAGGCGGACCUGCAAGUCGGGGGUGAAAGCCCGAGGCUCAACCUCGGAACUGCCUUCGAUACUGCGGGUCUCGAGUCCGGGAGAGGUGAGUGGAAUUCCUAGUGUAGAGGUGAAAUUCGUAGAUAUUAGGAAGAACACCAGUGGCGAAGGCGGCUCACUGGCCCGAUACUGACGCUGAGGCACGAAAGCGUGGGGAGCAAACAGG
This 254-nucleotide ribosomal RNA is filed under the name uncultured bacterium. Its description in RNAcentral is "partial 16S ribosomal RNA". It matches the Rfam family "Bacterial small subunit ribosomal RNA", at positions 524 to 776 of the family's 1533-position model. The record is from RNAcentral.